AUUGAACGCUGGCGGCAGGCCUAACACAUGCAAGUCGAGCGGAUGAAGGGAGCUUGCUCCUGGAUUCAGCGGCGGACGGGUGAGUAAUGCCUAGGAAUCUGCCUGAUAGUGGGGGAUAACGUCCGGAAACGGGCGCUAAUCCCGCAUACGUCCUGAGGGAGAAAGUGGGGGAUCUUCGGACCUCACGCUAUCAGAUGAGCCUAGGUCGGAUUAGCUAGUUGGUGGGGUAAAGGCCUACCAAGGCGACGAUCCGUGACUGGUCUGAGAGGAUGAUCAGUCACACUGGAACUGAGACACGGUCCAGACUCCUACGGGAGGCAGCAGUGGGGAAUAUUGGACAAUGGGCGAAAGCCUGAUCCAGCCAUGCCGCGUGUGUGAAGAAGGUCUUCGGAUUGUAAAGCACUUUAAGUUGGGAGGAAGGGAAGUAAGUUAAUACCUUGCUGUUUCGACGUUACCAACAGAAUAAGCACCGGCUAACUUCGUG
This 484-nucleotide ribosomal RNA is filed under the name uncultured bacterium. Its description in RNAcentral is "partial 16S ribosomal RNA". It matches the Rfam family "Bacterial small subunit ribosomal RNA", at positions 30 to 507 of the family's 1533-position model. The record is from RNAcentral.